GGUUAAGUCCGCAACGAGCGCAACCCUUGUCAUUAGUUGCUACAUUCAGUUGGGCACUCUAAUGAGACUGCCGGUGACAAGCCGGAGGAAGGUGGGGAUGACGUCAAGUCCUCAUGGCCCUUAUAGGUGGGGCUACACACGUCAUACAAUGGCUGGUACAAAGGGUUGCCAACCCGCGAGGGGGAGCUAAUCCCAUAAAGCCAGUCGUAGUCCGGAUCGUAGUCUGCAACUCGACUACGUGAAGUCGGAAUCGCUAGUAAUCGUGGAUCAGAAUGUCACGGUGAAUACGUUCCCGGGUCUU
Molecule: ribosomal RNA, 301 nt
Filed under: uncultured Rhodoferax sp.
Lineage: Bacteria; Pseudomonadati; Pseudomonadota; Betaproteobacteria; Burkholderiales; Comamonadaceae
Description: bacterial SSU rRNA
Rfam family: Bacterial small subunit ribosomal RNA
Source: RNAcentral